AUUGAACGCUGGCGGCAGGCUUAACACAUGCAAGUCGAGCGGAUGAAGCGAGCUUGCUCCUGGAUUCAGCGGCGGACGGGUGAGUAAUGCCUAGGAAUCUGCCUCGUUGUGGUUGAUAACGUCCGGAAACGGGCGCUACUACCGCAUACGUCCUGCGCGAGAAAGUGGGGGAUGUUCGGACCUCUCGCUAUCAGAUGAGCCUAGGUCGGGUGAGCUAGUUGGUGGGGUGUAGGCCUCCCACGGCGACGAUCCGUAACUGGUCGGAGAGGAGGAUCAGUCACGCGAGAACGUACGGACGGUCCAGACUCCUGAGGGAGGCCGCAGUGGGGAAUGUUGGACAAUGGGCGAAAGUCUGACACAGCGCGGCCGCGUGUGUGAAGAAGGUCUUCGGAGUGUAAAGCACUUUAAGGUGGGAGGAAGCGCAGUAAGUUAAUACCUUGCUGUUGUGACGGUACCAAGAGAAGAAGCACCGGCUAACUACGUG
RNAcentral lists this ribosomal RNA (484 nucleotides) under uncultured bacterium. Its description in RNAcentral is "partial 16S ribosomal RNA". It matches the Rfam family "Bacterial small subunit ribosomal RNA", at positions 30 to 507 of the family's 1533-position model. The record is from RNAcentral.